Molecule: ribosomal RNA, 128 nt
Filed under: Croscherichia paykulli
Lineage: Eukaryota; Metazoa; Arthropoda; Insecta; Coleoptera; Meloidae
Description: partial 5.8S ribosomal RNA
Rfam family: 5.8S ribosomal RNA
About the family: 5.8S ribosomal RNA (5.8S rRNA) is a component of the large subunit of the eukaryotic ribosome.
Source: RNAcentral
GCAUCGAUGAAGAACGCAGCAAAUUGCGCGUCAACAUGUGGACUGCAGGACACAUGAACGUCGACAUUUUGAACGCACAUUGCGGUCCCCGGAUACUGUUCCUGGACCACAUCUAGCUGAGGGUCGUU